This 75-nucleotide transfer RNA is filed under the name Pseudomonadota bacterium. RNAcentral's name for it is "tRNA-Thr". It matches the Rfam family "tRNA". From Rfam's summary of the family: Transfer RNA (tRNA) molecules are approximately 80 nucleotides in length. Their secondary structure includes four short double-helical elements and three loops (D, anti-codon, and T loops). Lineage: Bacteria; Pseudomonadati; Pseudomonadota. The record is from RNAcentral.
GCCGCCGUAGCUCAGUGGUAGAGCGCAUCCUUGGUAAGGCUGAGGUCGGGAGUUCGAUCCUCCCCGGCGGCACCA